GGCGAAUACGCACGGCAGCCGCCCGCUGUGGAGUCCGUCCCGCCGCGAGGCACACAGCGUCCACUCCGCAGCUGACGCAGCUUCACUCCACCGACGUCACAGAUGGCUAGGGGAGAGGGCUCAGGCGAGGGGAUGGGCGCGGGCGCCGGUGGCGACGACGGCGGCGGCGCCAUCUGGAGCAUCGUCUGGCUCAUCAUCCUGCUGCUCAUCAGCUUCUGGAUAGCGGGAUUCUGCGCUGCCUGGUACAUCCUCUUCUCCAUCUUCGUGCCGUGCAUCGAAGGCCUCAAGCCCGUCUGCGACAUCUUGAUGGCAGGAGUUCAGUUUCCUCGGAUGUGCUCAGAGAAUAUGCUGGCUCAAAAACCCAUCGGAUAGACGAAGUACAAACUGAGUCGAUGGUCACUGGAGCACCCGAUUUAAGGUGGUGUCUCAGGACGCGGCCGCGGUCGUGGAGGACGCGUCUGGUCACACUCGGGCGUUGAGUGUACCUCAGAUCGUGUGAAAGGAUGUUGUUGCCAGUCGGCCACUGAGGUGUCCACCCUAUCGUGUUACAACGCCACUUCAUUACGCCGCUUGUAAUAAUGCCACUUCAUGAUUCAUGCGGCGUAAUCUCGUUUGACGUGAAAGAAACAGUCUAAACGCGGACCAGCGCAUGUUGUAUUUUAAUACGAAAUACACACCUGCAUGUGA
Molecule: long non-coding RNA, 687 nt
Organism: Pollicipes pollicipes
Lineage: Eukaryota; Metazoa; Arthropoda; Thecostraca; Pollicipedomorpha; Pollicipedidae
Exons: 3
Source: RefSeq, a predicted model, not a curated record